UAAAAUUCACCUAAAACAUACAAGGGACAAUGUUUACAAAUGUAAAACGAUUCUGUGUUAACAUCAACCGCGAUCGAAACGACCAUUGGAGACUUCAGUUCAACAAAAGAUAAAUUAAAACGAAUUAUACAAUCAAUAAAAAAAAAAAAAAGUAAAACACCAUAAUCAAAAAGUACAAUUAUGGACUUAUUUAAUAUUAGUACAUAAGUGAUAUUUGGAAUAUCUUACAUAAAGCCUC
This 238-nucleotide long non-coding RNA is filed under the name Lathyrus oleraceus (garden pea). RNAcentral's name for it is "Pisum sativum (pea) long non-coding RNA (PSAT_LNC029372)". The record is from RNAcentral. Lineage: Eukaryota; Viridiplantae; Streptophyta; Magnoliopsida; Fabales; Fabaceae.